This is a long non-coding RNA of Lolium rigidum, 1308 nucleotides long. RefSeq lists it as uncharacterized. The transcript has 3 exons. Lineage: Eukaryota; Viridiplantae; Streptophyta; Magnoliopsida; Poales; Poaceae. The record is from RefSeq and is a predicted model, not a curated record.
CUCCUCUGCCGGCCACUGAGUUCACCCCGACGAUGAGACCGAGCGUUCAGGUUCGACGCUGCCGAUCCCGGCCACCGCGCCUCACCAACAUCCUGCUGUCCAACUACCAGGAGCACCGCCGCCUCCAGUUCGACUUCGUUGUCCACGACCGCCUCCCAUCUCCAUCAUGACUCCUGCCUAAGUCCCUAUCCACUGAUCCACCUGCCUCCUUGCCAAUUCCUUUGCAUCCCGACCUCCUCGUUGAACCCUAGCACAAGUCCUGCAGCCGCCGCCCUUCUCGUGUCCCCGGCUCCCCGCCCCAGCCACCCUCCCUCAGUCGUCUGAGCGGAUCGCUGAGCGGAGCGCCUCCUCACAUCUGGAUGACCUCCAUCUCGAGGUUCGGCCUCCUCAAAGUUCGGUCCUUCUCCAGCAAAAGCUCCUCCCCGAGCAACCCCAAGUGGACGACCUCCUCCUUCUCGAGAUCCAUCCCCGAUCUUGGCCGGUCUGAUCCUCACUAAGGGAUGCGGCGAUGGAGCUGCGCUCCAAUGAUAGUAUCAGCAACAGAGUGAACAUGCUUCAGUUUGCUGCCCCGCGCACGGACUGAGAUCCUCCUACCCAUUGUCUCCCCAACGCUAGGGCAUUCUACAUCUUUAUGUUCUACAUGUCCAAGUCGUCUAAGAGGAACCAGGGUAUUCUAAAUCGCAGGCAGGAUGGACGCUACAAUGGUAAUCACAAGCAGAAAUUGAUCCCAAAGUGCGACAGGAGGUCUGGCGCGCUCUGGACUUCCCCACCGAAGCCAUCACUGCUGAUGCCUUCAUUGGAGAUGACCAUCUUGAAGCUCCUCCUAGCGAUAGAGUCUAGCAUCCUGGCUGGCGUUGUAGCGCGGCGCCCCCCACACCCGUGGUGUUCGGCGGUGGGACUACGAGGCGCAACUAUAUGAGCUGAGCACAAGCCCUGCCCCAGAGCCAUUCUUCUCCUCUUUCCCAUCUGAAGAGUGAUCUGACUUGAUUAGUACUUCAGCUUCGAAUACAGACACGUCUCAGUUCAGUUGCAGCUAUGUAUGCAUUACUUGCAAGAUCAUAUGUGGAGGUUACUGAAAGAACAAAGAAAUGAUUGUUCUACUUAUUCAGGCCUUGACCUUGGAGAGUCCAAGAUGACCUCGGAUGCCACUGGCAGUCAGACAUCAUUGGCUGUUUGGAACAUUCCACUUUACAAUGCUAAUGGAGAUGCAUCUGAAACGACAUACAUUUUUAUGAGAUCAUUCCUAAGAAUAUAUGGAUGCACAUUCAAAUCAGGAGAAUUUGCUUCAAAAGAUACACGAGUUUUGUC